ACCCCAAAAAAGCAAUCAGGAUUGGAAAUUGAUCACAGAAACCUUAACUGGAAUGCCUCCAAAAGCUAUUAUUUCAUCUAAGAAAGGGGCAGAAACUUGACUGUGUGCCAGGAAGCGUUCAUACAAAGCCAAGACAGCGAUCCAAAAACAGAGCCGCUUUUCUUGUUUCCAGAGCACCACGAAGCUCACACUCAUGCUGCCGCGGCCCUCGGGGCAGCACUUCUCCACACAGCAGCUCCAGUGAUGACCAGUCUGGGAGGUGAGCCAGAGUUCACCUGGCUGACUGGGGUUCAGUAGCGCUAGUCACGCAAUGCUGUGUGCGCAAACCUCCAGCAACUUUUCAACCCCUGCACACAAGAAAGCCAUCAAGUACCUGCAAUUGACAGAAUCGCGUGCAAUUCAGGCCUCGUUUUGAAGUUUGAGAGCGUGAUCCCGGCAAUACAAGCAAGCCUGGAGGUGGUUAGGACAUGAAAGUGAGUUAACUCCACUUACCGUCAUGCAUUGCGCAACUACGUUUGGUGAAAGCAGCAUGUGCUGAGGCGCUCCGCACAAACUAUGGCUCAGUGAAGCUGCGGCUCUUGACGAGAGCGCGUCGUGUCAGCAGAGACUCUGGCUGCAGCUGCCGCAGAGACCAUCAUUGCGCUGGACCCUAAGGAGGAAUCAGCAUCUUCGGAAAUAAUCGUUCUGAUUGCUUUGCUGGAUUUGCCUGGGCGUAAAUCGUUUAAUGCUGGGGCUCUUUGGACGCAUUAACGGGAUUAAUCGCGACAUUGACAAACGUGGAGAAGUUAUUAUUAUUAUUGUUUUGUGUUUUUGUUUAAACGUGAUCACGAUGGUAGCAGCUGAUGGAUUGAAAACUCCAGCUAUGGAUCUUUUCGCGUGUUAUAAGGAAAUGCUGACUUCAGUCUGGGAUGAGUUUCUACUCCUGCCACAGAUUCAGCUGCUGGACAAGUCUCUUGGGAUAUUUGGGAUACAAGCGUGGUCAAGUGCUGACAUUUUCAUAGAUGGUUAAUGUUAUAUGCUGAUUUCGGAAAUGAAAUCUGUAUUUUGUGGAUUUUUUAUUUUUUUUAUUUUGCACAGUUGGAUAUCUUGGAUUAUGUUUUGGAAGCUGUGCUCCAGUGGAUGUCCAGUGAUUUGGAUAAUAUGUGCGCAUCUCCUGAUUCCGCAGUGAAGGAAUCCAAAUUCUUCAGAUGAGAGUUCGACCUUUAAUUGCAUGCUAGCGAUCUUCUGAUGAUCACCAAGAAGGGGCUGAGUAAUGGAAACAUGACCUCAAGAGAUUCAACAGGGUGAGGCAUGUGAGAGAAACGUGGGAAGGGAAAAUCCAGAAUGGAGGCCAGAAGAGAUGCACAAAGUCAGGAUCAUACUAAAUCCCGGUUUGGACUGUUGGACCAGCAUCCUCUGAAGCAGAUGUUUGCUCCUGGCAAGGCUGCCGACAACAUGAGCUCCCACACUGGCAAUCUAGCUCUCAGGAUUCAGUGAGCAGCGUGAGCUUGGAGAAGCUAUGACAUAAACGCAGCAGGACGGUGAAUCGCGUUUUGCUGCUCAGACAUCAUGGAACAGAUCAGUCAGCCCCAUCUGGAGAAAUGCUCUAUAGAAGAGUCAUAUAUUUACCAUAGUUACUUUGAUGGAUACAGCAUGUUGUUUGACUUUAUUUUUCUAAUUGAUUUUAAUAGAAAUGAUAAUUUCCCGCCAUCUAUGUAUCUUCUCUUGUUUUGCAGAUUUUAAUUACAGUGUCGCUCAUUCAGUGACUUCAGCAUUUACUGUGUCAUUUUUGUCAUUUUUGGUAAUGUGACUGUUUUCAAAGUGGCUCUUCUAAAACUUUAAGAAAGUUUAUCCAGGGAGGAGCACAAAAAAAUGUCUCCUACUGUGUAAAAAGACUUAAUGCACAUGUGAUUGAGAUUAAUCAGAUGAAUCACUCAGUCAGUGGAUAUGUGAUUUUCAUCUUCUUACUGCAGCGACAAAGAAGCCAUUGUCAUUAUUGUAAAACCAUGAAUUCUCCUUCUUAUGCUGCAUUUCAUUGUGACACAUUGGCAGCUUCUGCUAAUUUCAGUUAAUAAUCCUGUCAAGCAGUUUAUUCUCAUUAUGAUUUAUGACUCCAUAGCUUUUGUUGUUUUUGUUAAGCCCUGUUAGCAGAAAUUAAAAGGUGUAUCCAA
This is a non-coding RNA of Neolamprologus brichardi, 2150 nucleotides long. Lineage: Eukaryota; Metazoa; Chordata; Actinopteri; Cichliformes; Cichlidae. The record is from RefSeq and is a predicted model, not a curated record.